AAUGCAGUCGAACGGUCUUUUAGAGAUAGUGGCGGACGGGUGAGUAACGCGUGAGAAUCUAGCUUCAGGUCGGGGACAACCACUGGAAACGGUGGCUAAUACCGGAUAUGCCGAAAGGUGAAAGGCUUGCUGCCUGAAGAUGAGCUCGCGUCUGAUUAGCUAGUUGGUGUGGUAAAGGCGCACCAAGGCGACGAUCAGUAGCUGGUCUGAGAGGAUGAUCAGCCACACUGGGACUGAGACACGGCCCAGACUCCUACGGGAGGCAGCAGUGGGGAAUUUUCCGCAAUGGGCGAAAGCCUGACGGAGCAAUACCGCGUGAGGGAGGAAGGCUCUUGGGUUGUAAACCUCUUUUCUCAGGGAAGAAAAAAAUGACGGUACCUGAGGAAUAAGCAUCGGCUAACUCCGUGCCAGCAGCCGUGGUAAUACGGAGGAUGCAAGCGUUAUCCGGAAUGAUUGGGCGUAAAGGGUCCGCAGGUGGCUAUGUAAGUCUGCUGUUAAAGCACCUAGCUUAACUAGGUAAAAGCAGUGGAAACUACAAGGCUAGAGUGCGUUCGGGGUAGAGGGAAAUUCCUGGUGUAGCGGUGA
This 585-nucleotide ribosomal RNA is filed under the name uncultured bacterium. RNAcentral's name for it is "bacterial SSU rRNA". It matches the Rfam family "Bacterial small subunit ribosomal RNA", at positions 54 to 684 of the family's 1533-position model. The record is from RNAcentral.